GCACUGGGGGGGGCAUAGGGGAGCUGAUAGAGGGGCUGCCAGCUGUGGAAAAGCAGGCAGCCAAACGACAUUAGAGUGAAGCAUUGCACAACUUUAAAUGGAGCAUGUUCUGUAAUUUAGCAGGGACAUAAGAUCGAAACAACGGUAAGCGAGAGGCUAUUAAGUGGGGAGUUACUGUACUGCCUUUCAGAAAAUACAGGGGUAGAAUAUUUAAAAUAUAUAUAUAUCAUACAAGUCCAAAAAAGUUGUGGUCAAACUGAAGAACUGUAAGUUUAGGAAAGAAUUCAGCUUAUCUUGAUGUUAAAUGUAUUUUGCAUUCCUGGGUCACCCCUUUGACACACAGAUGGUGUUAUCUGUACUCUACUAUCAAGAAAACAGUAUCAUAUGGCAGAAAUACGGACAAGGAACAAGACUAAAUUACUUCGUCCACCAAUCCUGGACCAAGUACCACAAAAAUUUAGAGAUGCAAUAACGAGUGAUUUAUGAUUUCAAAUUCAGACUAUACUAAUUUGGCUCAAACACUGACAAUACUAGACUCAGAUUAAUUUUUAAAAACUUAGGCCUCAAACAAUAAUAAUCCACUAUGUCCUAAUUUGAAGGGCUACUCAGUCUUUACCAUUGCACCGCUGGAUUCUGGAAGCUUUCGCUAUUUCCUUAAAACCUUGCCUUGCAUCUUACUGGUUAUGGAAAAACUUCUCAAUCACUCUCAAAUUAUUGCAACACCUCAUUUGAACACUGCUCUCUUUCCCCACAUUUUGGGGGAGGAGGAAGAAAUGUGUAAUUGCUAAUUGAGGAAGAAAGCAUUUAACUGGUAAUGGACAAUGAUGUUUUCUGCUUUCUACGUAUGUACCUGCUGUCUAUUAAAGAUUAACUAAAAUAUAUGUUAAAACAAUGGACUGGUCUUUGUAUUCAUUGUUUCAGUCCCAAAUUACACUGAUAUUCAAUAAAAAAUAUAUAUCUGCUAAAGAAAUGGUGGUGCUUUCCCUCAUUUGGAGCACAUGCAUUUAAGCUAUGCUGAACUUCUUGCAUGUAUAGGGGCAGAGAAUGCAUUUGUCUCAAUGACCCCAGGAGUUCCUUCCAUCUCUCACAUACAGUAGAACCUCAGAGUUCCUGACACCUUGAAAAAGGAGGUUGUUCGUAACUCUGAAGCUCAGGCUCCAGCAGUUCACAGUCCGGGCCAGGUUCCAGAGGCAGCUAGUCAGCUUUGGGGAGGGAUGUGGGUGAAAACGGUGCCCCGCUUCCUGGCUGGGGGAGGGGUGUGUGUGAAAACAGUACCCAUGGCUUACAGGAAAGCAGCGCCGACUCCAAUGCUGCACCUGCUCCGGCUGCCUUGGGCUGGCAGUGGGGGCUCACAGCUUUGCCUGUGAAACGCCUAGCUCUGCUGCCAUUGUGGCCUUCAGGGUCUCCCUCUCCACACCUGAGCCAAAUAAGGAGGAGAAAGAAGAGGACUCGGGAUGACAUGGUCCUACAAGCAAAUGCUGCAUCUGACUAAGCACAGGGCCUGGAGGAUGGACACUGUAGACAGCCUGGAGAAGGAAAGAGUAGUGAGGAGAAAGACCCAGGAGUCCGAGCAGGAACAGGAGAGGCAGACAAACCAAGACAUAAUGGGGCUUCUCAGGCAGAAACACAGAUGUUGCAGACUCUGGUGGACAUGCAGGUUCAACAAUCCUGGGCUUGCCUUCCUCUGCAGCCCAUUGAGAACUCCACCUCGGGAUCACACCCCCUAAACCCUCCCCAAAUUCUACAUGGCAUCAAGGGUUGCUGCACAACCCCUACCACUCCACCCCAGGGGACAUCAAAGACAAUCACAACUUCACAUACACUGCCCUGUGACAGCCACAGUUGGUGUAUGUGUAGCUGAAAUGGACAUGAAUGUUCUUUCCCCGUCAUAAGUUCUGUUCUAUUAGGUUUUUAAAUGUAUUUGUUCUAAAAUUGCCCUUUUUUGCUCUGAUUGUGUUACAGAAUAAAAUUCUAUUUGGAACAUAA
This is a long non-coding RNA of Chelonia mydas (Green sea turtle), 1986 nucleotides long. RefSeq lists it as uncharacterized. The record is from RefSeq and is a predicted model, not a curated record. NCBI's taxonomy places the organism in Eukaryota, Metazoa, Chordata, Testudines, Cheloniidae. The transcript is spliced from 2 exons.